AGAAGGAAUGUUGAAAAGCAUUUGAGUUUU
This 30-nucleotide non-coding RNA is filed under the name Mus musculus (house mouse). The record is from RNAcentral. Lineage: Eukaryota; Metazoa; Chordata; Mammalia; Rodentia; Muridae.